This 2799-nucleotide ribosomal RNA is filed under the name Triticum aestivum (bread wheat). RNAcentral describes it as "partial small subunit ribosomal RNA". Lineage: Eukaryota; Viridiplantae; Streptophyta; Magnoliopsida; Poales; Poaceae. The record is from RNAcentral.
AUGGCGCCUGCGGUGACCGCUGCACUAGGCGCGAUGGGUCCCUUGCUGGGGAAGCUCUCCGAGUUGCUUGCCAAUGAGUGCGGCCGCCUCAAAAGGGUCCGCCGUGAGAUUCGCUCCCUCCGGACAGAGUUUACCAGCAUGCAUGCCGCUCUACAGAAGUACGCCAAGCUAGAGGACCCUGAUGACCAGGUCAAGCAAUGGGUAUCGCUGGUGAGGGAGUUGGCCUAUGAUACUGAGGAUCUUUUCGACAAGUUCAUUCGCCACCUCGGCAAUGGUGAGAGUCAUGAUGGCGGCUUCAAGGAGUACUUCCGCAAGACUGCUCGGCGUCUAAAGACGCUUGGAGCUCGGCGUGGGAUUGCCAGCCAAAUCGAUGACCUGAAGCUUCAUAUCAACGAAGUGAAAGAGCUCAAGACCAGCUACAAGCUGGAUGAUGUUGCUUCUAGCACCCCGGUCCAUACAACCACCGUGGAUCCCCGGUUGGCUGCUCUUUUCGCCGAGGAGGCACACCUUGUUGGCAUUGAUGGUCCAAGAGACGAGCUUGACAAGUGGAUGUUGGAAGAAGAAAACAAGCAUCAUCGCAGGGUGUUGUCGAUUGUUGGGUUUGGUGGAUUGGGAAAGACAACGCUGGCGAAUGAAGUCUACCGCAAGAUUCAAGGGCAUUUUGAUUGUCAUGCUUUUGUGUCGGUCUCGCAAAAGCCAGAUACAAAGAAAAUCAUCAAGGAUUUAAUCUCACAGGUGUCUUGCAAUGCUGAAUUCACAAAAGAUAUGGAUACUUGGGAUGAAAAGAAAUCCAUUGCAAAGCUAAGAGAACUUUUAAAAGAGAAGAGGUAUCUUGUUAUCAUUGAUGAUAUAUGGUCUAUAGUGGCAUGGAAGGCUAUCAAUUGUGCAUUUCCAGAGAACAGCUGUUCUAGCAGAAUUGUAGCCACUACACGCAUAUUGGAAGUAGCUAGCUCUUGUUGUCCAGGUCCUGAUGACCAGAUCUAUCAAAUGAAACCUCUAUGUGAUCCUCACUCUGAAAGACUAUUUUUCAGAAGAAUCUUUGGCUCAGAGAAUUGCUGCCCUAAUAUGUUUAUUGAAGUUUCAAAAGCUAUCUUGAAAAAGUGUGGAGGCCUACCAUUGGCAAUUAUCAGUAUUUCUGGUCUACUAGCAAACAGACCACGUGUGAAAGAAGAGUGGGAGAAGGUAAAAAGAUCAAUUGGUUCUGACUUGAACAAAAGCCAAAGUCUAGAAGGAAUGAGGAACAUGCUAUCCUUGAGCUAUAAUGAUCUUCCACCAAACCUCAAGACCGUCUUGUUGUACUUAAGUAAUUUUCCGGAAGAUUAUGUGAUUGACAGAGAAAGGUUGGUGAGGCAAUGGAUUGCGGAAGGCUUUAUUUCUGAAGAGCGUGGGAGGAGCUGUCAAGAGGUUGCAGAAAGUUAUUUUUACGAGCUUAUCAAUAAAAACCUGGUCCAACCAGUGGGCAUUGGUUAUGAUGGGAUGGUUCGUGCCUGUCGAGUUCAUGACAUGAUGCUUGAACUUAUCAUUUCAAAAUCCAUUGAAGAAAAUUUCAUCACUGUGGUGAACGGCAGUCAAACUGUUUGGGGAAAUUCUCAGUGUUCUAUUCGACGUUUAUCGAUCCAAGACAUUGACCAGGAGCUUGCAUAUGAAUUGGCAAGGAAAGAUCUAAGCCAUGUCCGGUCUCUUAUAAUAACAGCAUCAGGUUGCAUCAAACACUUGCCCAGUCUAACAAAGUUUGAAGCUUUACGUGUACUAGAUUUUGAAGAUUGCCGGGGCGUGGCACAGUAUGAUAUGGAUGGUAUGGAAAACCUGUUCCAGCUAAAGUACCUAAGCUUUUGCGGAACAGGUAUAUCGGAGCUACCAUCUAGAAUUGUGAUGCUACAUGAUCUAGAGACGCUAGAUUUAAGGGGUACAACAAUCAAAGACUUGCCGCCUAGAAUUGUUCAGCUCACGAAACUACAACAUCUACUCGGUUACGCUUACGUAGAUGAGUGGAAGAUACCAAUCGGGAUUGGGAAUAUGACAAACUUAAGGGAGAUCUCAGGCUUUGAUAUUACCAUGAGUUCAGUAGGUGCAGUGAAGGAGCUAGGGAGCCUGAUCAAUUUGAAGGUACUUCGUGUACGGUUCAUCGUGAAAGAUGAAGAAUCUCAAGAGUACAAGAGUCAUGCAGAGAUGUUUCAUUCCUCACUAUGCAAGCUUGGCAGCUACAAACUCCAGUCCGUGUGGAUAAAUGGUGAUAAUUCAUCUCUAUUCGAGUUAUUAGAUUCCUGGUCUCCUCUUCCAACUCACCUCCAAAGAUUUGGGACGGGCACCGAGUACUGUUUAUCAAAACUGCCAAAAUGGAUUACUCCAGCACUCACCAGUCUUGCAGACCUAGCCAUCAAUUUAAGUGUAAUAACAGAGGAGGUUCUUGGCAUACUUGGAGAGCUGUCUGCAUUACUUUCUCUGAGACUUUAUACCAACACGGUCCAUGAAGACAGGCUUGUUUUGCAAGGCAGAGGAUUCCGAUGUUUGAAGGAGUUCCUUUAUUAUCCUUUUGGUGAAGGUGCAGGGACCCUUCUGUUUGAGGAAGGGGCAUUGCCAAAGCUCGAGAAGCUUAUGCUGUGGUUCUUUGUAUCAAUGGCAAAGGUCUAUGGAUUCUACUUAGGACUUGAGCACCUCCCAUAUCUAAAAGAUGUACACGUUAUUCUACAGAACGGGGAUGCCAUAAUAAAAGCUGCAGUAGUUGCCAUAAGGAAUGAAGCAAACCUCCAUCCCAACCAUCCCAGGUUAACUCUCCAUGAAAAAAAAAUGAAAGAAUGA